UUUGCUGUCGCUUGAGUAAUGCGUGUCCCUCUUCCUUUCUCUCUUCAGUCCGUGCUAAGACACCUCCUCUGAUGAAUUUCUUGACUCUGACAACAGGCCCCCUGCUGGCGCCCGUCCAAGCGGCACGCUGCGCGCUUUCACUGUCCUCGCGGGCUUCAGUGAAGGGCAUCCCGCUUUGUUCCUCCCGCCCAGGGCCCAGAUCCGCCGCCGGCGCCCGCAUUAAUGACACUGCAGGCCUGGCCCUUCGAUCUUCAUCAGCGGCCGCGCAUCACUCGCCGCACGGCGGCUGGGAAGGUGCGGGCGCUGCGAGGGAGACGAGCUCUUCGGGACGCAGGACCCAGGCCUGGCCCCCGCAGAGCUCUAAUGCCACCACAGAAUGAGAGAAAUGCAACGCAAAGCCCCUCUUCUCUCCUGUGAGAAUCAACCUCCUCACACGCCGCAUCACUGUAUCUCAGCUACCCUGUGGAAUCAAGAGAAUGGGCUUCAGGUUCAGCUGUGUGGGAGACCAGCUGUGUAACCACAGGAGACGUUUUACAGCUCCGGAUUCCAGGCCCAAAAGUGCAAGUGAGGGGUUGGGCCACCCCUGCCCAUGGAGCUGUGACAGGCACCCCUACGCCCAGGGGGCCUAAUGCAGGGAAAUGGUGACUCAGAGCUGUUUGCCCACCAUGAAUCUGUCCAAUGGAAUGAUUAAUGAAUACUAAAUGUCAGGCACACAAAGACAGCUGGGACCACGGGGACACUGGGGAGACCUGCCCUCUCGGAGGAUAACUGGUGAGGAGUCGUCGCUUUCCCUCCCUCUCCCCCCUUCAGCUCCUCAUCUCCAAAUGCGAGGGAUGGGGCAGCACCUCUCUCCUGGGAGGCUUUCUUACCAACAGCUUCAUCAGGAAAAGACACAAGAAAGAAGCGAGGAAGGCUGCUCUCCACGUCUCCCCCACCAAGUCCAAGGCCUUCAACUCAUGGCUUUCCACUGUCCCUCCCCAUCUCCUUCCCGAAUACCUUGGUUUCCAAAUUUUAAACUCCAUCCUGCCUUUUCCCGGACCUCUUCCCACCUCAUCCAAGGAAGAAUAAGCACGGUAAAUGGCAGCCACCCCACCGUCUCGUGUCUCCUGAUUUAAACCCUGCUUACCUCAACCAUGUCAUGAGCAUUACAACUUUUGGCUAAAAAAACUGUAACUAUCAAUAUUAUUAUAGGGAGACAAUGUGUCUUCCAGAUGCCCAUUCAGAGCAUAUUGCACAAAUUGGGGAGUUCUCACCUAGCACAUGGUUUCCAACAAUUAUAAGGAAGAUAUAUUUUCUUGGGUUUUUGGUUCCCUCUAUAAAUUUUUCCACCCAAUGGGCUAUUAUUUAUUUUUAUUUAUUUUUUUUAUUCUUAUGUUAAUCC
Molecule: non-coding RNA, 1381 nt
Organism: Leptonychotes weddellii (Weddell seal)
Lineage: Eukaryota; Metazoa; Chordata; Mammalia; Carnivora; Phocidae
Source: RefSeq, a predicted model, not a curated record